Molecule: small nuclear RNA, 329 nt
Filed under: Jaculus jaculus (lesser Egyptian jerboa)
Lineage: Eukaryota; Metazoa; Chordata; Mammalia; Rodentia; Dipodidae
Description: 7SK RNA (ENSJJAG00000004262.1)
Rfam family: 7SK RNA
About the family: 7SK was discovered as an abundant small nuclear RNA in the mid-70s but a possible function has only recently been suggested.
Source: Rfam by way of RNAcentral
AGCUCAGAGAUGGAUCAAAUGGAUGUGACAUCUGUCACCAUAUUGAUCAGCAGGGUUGACGCAUCUGGCCUUGCUGGCUAGGCAGGUGUCCCCUUCCUCGCUUACCGCUGUGCACAGUCCCCCUGAUGCUGUGUGAUCAUUAAAGAGGGUGGCCUUCCCCAGUCACAGGAGGACCGAUCUUCUGGCAAGGGCAUGUGAGCAGCUGACCCACUGCUAGAACCUCCAAACCAGCUCUCAGGAAAUUAAUCAGCCCUAGGAAGGCAGGAUUCUGAGGAGGAAGCAGAUAAUGCCAUUCAUAUCCCAGAGCCUAUGAAAAGCUCAGUUGUCUG